This 299-nucleotide unclassified non-coding RNA is filed under the name soil metagenome. Its description in RNAcentral is "partial contains 5.8S ribosomal RNA, internal transcribed spacer 2, and large subunit ribosomal RNA". The stretch from base 1 to 120 matches the Rfam family "5.8S ribosomal RNA", at positions 35 to 154 of the family's 154-position model. The record is from RNAcentral.
GAUGAAGAACGCAGCGAAAUGCGAUAAAUAAUGUGAAUUGCAGAAUUCCGUGAAUCAUCGAGUUUUUGAACGCACAUUGCACUCCUUGGCAUUCCGAGGAGUACGCCUGUUCGAGCGUCAUUACACUCUCAAGCGCUGCUUGGAUUUGAAUCACUGCCGUGGCAGGAUUCCAAUAUCGUUGGCAAUUGACCAUCUGUGACGACUCACUCCGAGUUAAUUCGCCGGAACCCUUCUUUUUAAGUUGACCUCGGAUCAGGCGGGGAUACCCGCUGAACUUAAGCAUAUCAAUAAGCGGAGGA